Paramormyrops kingsleyae is the source of this 1552-nucleotide long non-coding RNA. RefSeq lists it as uncharacterized. The record is from RefSeq and is a predicted model, not a curated record. Lineage: Eukaryota; Metazoa; Chordata; Actinopteri; Osteoglossiformes; Mormyridae.
UUAAGAGUCGUCAUAAGCAGUCUUUUAGCAUACAGUAAGAUGUGAAUUGUUUUGCAUACAACAUUCACCUAAAAAUAGCUACAAAAUAGUCUGUCUUUCAUUCAAAGCGAUUUUUCGUUUCUUUUCUUGCUGAGGAACAGAAUAUGCAAGCUUCUGAUAGCAAUUUAACAUUUUAAAGAUCAUUUAAAGAUACUCAUAUGGUACACAAUACGUUGACAAUUUUGUGAGAAUUCGUUUAACUUAAAUACUCAUAGAAAGGCACAGUAUUUGAGGCGGGGGGAGUAAGAAGGAGGGGAAACGAAAGAGCCAUAACCUCGUAUUAUACGUUUCCUUUUAUUCCAAACAUAUCGUCAGAAUAUGUAGAUUGAGGUGGCUCUGAAAUUGAUCAGGUUCAAGUUCAUUUCCAGUUUAUGAUCGUCUUCUGCCUCCUAGCGACGAAGCCCAGACACGCACAACCGGGACUUCACCGCAACUUGCGAAGGAUGCCUGUUCUCCUGACCAACAUUUCUAAACACGGGUCACAGACCACGGAAACGUUACGAUAUAUAAACACCGCCUGAAACUUCCAGCCAACUAUGAUUGAGAUGCUAACAGUUUUGAGAGUGCAUCGGAAUUAUCCCCCCAGCAAACAAUCCAUCUCGAGCGUUUGGGCAGCCUCCAAGGACCCCUCGAGCGGGCGCGAGCUCAGUUUAAGGCCUCUCCCUCGUGCAUCUGAUCUGAAUCCGCUGGUGAGUGUGUGCAUCGCCAGGUUCGCCAGCAUUGCAGCUAGACCGAGUAUCACCGGCAGAAGUCACGGAUCCCUUACCAGGAGAGGAUCGACACUUUUUCUAGAUAUUAUUAGGUAUUUGUGUCUAUUCAAAGUUAAAUUUUAAGUGCUUGAUUGAAGGUAGCGCGACGAUUCACACAAGAGCAAAAACAUGUACGCCAUACAUUUCAUGAACCCUUUAUUCGAUAUCAUAGGUGGUCAAUCGCUCUAUAAUAUGGUAUAUAUGCUCUCCAUCACAUGACAGUGGAAGCCUAAAACCUAGACAGAAUGCAGAAUCUGUAUGGCUGCCAGAAGUCGACAUCUAGUAUAAUUAUACAUACCCACCUGACUGAUUUUUUUUAAAUAAAAAUGUGCACGUAGUGUUCAUCCAUGCCUUUAAAUCUGUGUAUAAGUCAUAUUUACACUUUUACAAGUUACGUUAUAAUUGGGAAAAAUGUUAAAUCUUAUAAAGUAAUUAAACUAAUUUAAAAGUCAUCGUUAAUAAAUAUUGAUGUAUAUAAUAACCAUUUAUUUCUCAAAGUUGCAGAUGUACCAAUACUGAGAAUGCAUAUUCUGUAAAAUUAAAUAAAAGCAACAAUUAUACCAUCUAUAAUUAAGAGACAGAUAAUAAGAAUAAAUUACCAACUCAAUGCAUGAAUUUUGAUUAUAAACACACAGUAUGUUUUUCCAAGCAUUACUCUUCAUAUGUGCAUUAUGGUUUUAUAUAUAAUGUCAUCUAUUUAUUAGAUUAGUAUUGCAAACAAAUAAGGACAAUGUAAUGAACUUUCAAUAAAAGUGAUUGUUUCA